This 433-nucleotide ribosomal RNA is filed under the name uncultured bacterium. RNAcentral's name for it is "partial 16S ribosomal RNA". It matches the Rfam family "Bacterial small subunit ribosomal RNA", at positions 29 to 507 of the family's 1533-position model. The record is from RNAcentral.
AACGAACGCUGGCGGCGUGCCUAACACAUGCAAGUCGAACGGGACCUUCGGGCCUUGUGGCGCACGGGUGCUUAACGCGGGGGAACCUGCCCGUAGGUUCGGAAUAACUCCCCGAGAGGGGUCCUAAUACCGGUUAAUGUCUUCGGACCAAAGAUUUAUCGCCUUUGGAUGGGCCCGCGUUGGAUUCGCCAGUUGGUAGGGUAAAAGCCUGCCAAGGCGACGAUCCAGAGCUGGUCUGAGAGGAUGACCAGCCACGCUGGGACUGCGACACGGCCCAGACUGCGACGGAAGGCAGCAGUGGGGAGUAUUGGACAAGGGGGGAUAGCCUGAUACAGCCAUGCCGCGGGAGUGAUGAAGGGCUUAGGGUUGUAAAGCUGUUUUAGCCGGGAUGAUAAUGACAGUAACGGGAGAAGAAGCUCCGGCUAACUCCGUG